UCUUUUCUUUCUCUUUCAUCUUCUUCUUUCUUCUUCUCUUCCCUUCUUCUAUGUUCUUCGUCUGUUGGCGAUUUUUAGAAUCAGUUCAUGAUUCUGAGUUGAUUUAAAGCUUGUAGAGAUCGAAGGUUAAUUGAUGGUGGUAAUUCUGGUUGAUCUGGUGAAAUCAAACCCAGCAGAGAAGUUAGUCGUUAUUAACAACGAUCGAUUCAAAGGAUGAUCCAGUGGAUUGAACAUCUCGAGGUAGGCGAGAGUUGUCAUCAAAAGAGUUUCAGAGACAGAUUCAAUUCAAGUGGUGCAUGUGGCGAUGAAAGCUUCGAGGAGUUGGUUUCGUUAGUUGGUUUAGCUUCCGCUAUGUUUAUUUUGUGUUUAUAUUCUAUUUGUAAAUCAACUCACUAUUGAAUAUGUAUCAUAUGAGAGGAGUUCUUGUAAUUAUUUCAAAGAGGGUUUAGAUUCGAGUAAAUCUUUGAUUAGAACUUCUUUCUUACUGUUUAAA
Molecule: long non-coding RNA, 493 nt
Organism: Papaver somniferum (opium poppy)
Lineage: Eukaryota; Viridiplantae; Streptophyta; Magnoliopsida; Ranunculales; Papaveraceae
Exons: 3
Source: RefSeq, a predicted model, not a curated record